RNAcentral lists this small RNA (340 nucleotides) under Oryza sativa Japonica Group (Japanese rice). RNAcentral describes it as "sRNA Os05g0527333". The record is from RNAcentral. Lineage: Eukaryota; Viridiplantae; Streptophyta; Magnoliopsida; Poales; Poaceae.
AACUGGUAGAAGACAAAAACACAACUCGACAAAAUAAGCUGAUCAACUUUAUAUUACAUCAAGAUGUGUUUAUAAAGUGUCUCCAAGCACUUCUCUCUCAACUUUCAAACUCAACUCGAGAGUCAAGACCUAAAGAUAACCCUAAUUUUUCACCUUAAAAAAGUGUUACCUCUUGAUGCUCAACCUUAUUUAUUUGUACAUAAAGGCACUCCACAAAAGCCAAAAUCCUACUUAAAUUAGGAAUCCUACUUCUAUAUAUAGAAAAGCCUCCCAAACCAUGUAUUAUUUUAUCUCUUUGUAAAUUCAAACCCUAAAUCCUACUUCAGCUAGUACUCUUUUC